UACGGGGGGGGCAAGCGUUGUUCGGAAUUACUGGGCGUAAAGGGCUCGUAGGCGGCCAACUAAGUCAGACGUGAAAUCCCUCAGCUUAACUGGGGAACUGCGUCUGAUACUGGCGAGCUUGAGUGCAGGAGAGGAACGCGGAAUUCCAGGUGUAGCGGUGAAAUGCGUAGAUAUCUGGAGGAACACCGGUGGCGAAGGCGGCGUUCUGGACUGCAACUGACACUGAUGAACGAAAGCCAGGGGAGCAAACGGG
RNAcentral lists this ribosomal RNA (253 nucleotides) under uncultured bacterium. RNAcentral describes it as "partial 16S ribosomal RNA". It matches the Rfam family "Bacterial small subunit ribosomal RNA", at positions 524 to 776 of the family's 1533-position model. The record is from RNAcentral.